RNAcentral lists this ribosomal RNA (430 nucleotides) under Pseudomonadota bacterium. Its description in RNAcentral is "Proteobacteria bacterium partial 16S ribosomal RNA". It matches the Rfam family "Bacterial small subunit ribosomal RNA", at positions 355 to 776 of the family's 1533-position model. Lineage: Bacteria; Pseudomonadati; Pseudomonadota. The record is from RNAcentral.
UGGGGAAUAUUGGACAAUGGGGGGAACCCUGAUCCAGCCAUGCCGCGUGUGUGAAGAAGGCCUUAUGGUUGUAAAGCACUUUAAGCGAGGAGGAGGGUACUGGUAUUAAUACUACCAGCUACUGGACGUUACUCGCAGAAUAAGCACCGGCUAACUCUGUGCCAGCAGCCGCGGUAAUACAGAGGGUGCGAGCGUUAAUCGGAUUUACUGGGCGUAAAGCGUGCGUAGGCGGCUAAUUGAGUCGGAUGUGAAAUCCCCGAGCUUAACUUGGGAAUUGCAUUCGAUACUGGUUAGCUAGAGUGUGGGAGAGGAUGGUAGAAUUCCAGGUGUAGCGGUGAAAUGCGUAGAGAUCUGGAGGAAUACCAAUGGCGAAGGCAGCCAUCUGGCCUAACACUGACGCUGAGGUACGAAAGCAUGGGGAGCAAACAGG